AGUGGGGAAUCUUGCGCAAUGGGCGAAAGCCUGACGCAGCCAUGCCGCGUGAAUGAUGAAGGUCUUAGGAUUGUAAAAUUCUUUCACCGGGGACGAUAAUGACGGUACCCGGAGAAGAAGCCCCGGCUAACUUCGUGCCAGCAGCCGCGGUAAUACGAAGGGGGCUAGCGUUGCUCGGAAUUACUGGGCGUAAAGGGCGCGUAGGCGGACAGUUUAGUCAGAGGUGAAAGCCCAGGGCUCAACCUUGGAAUUGCCUUUGAUACUGGCUGUCUUGAGUACGGGAGAGGUGAGUGGAACUCCGAGUGUAGAGGUGAAAUUCGUAGAUAUUCGGAAGAACACCAGUGGCGAAGGCGACUCACUGGCCCGUUACUGACGCUGAGGCGCGAAAGCGUGGGGAGCAAACAGGAUUAGAUACCCUGGUAGUCCACGCCGUAAACGAUGAGUGCUAGUUGUCGGCAUGCAUGCAUGUCGGUGACGCAGCUAACGCAUUAAGCACUCCGCCUGGGGAGUACGGUCGCAAGAUUAAAACUCAAAGGAAUUGACGGG
RNAcentral lists this ribosomal RNA (546 nucleotides) under uncultured bacterium. RNAcentral describes it as "bacterial SSU rRNA". It matches the Rfam family "Bacterial small subunit ribosomal RNA", at positions 353 to 917 of the family's 1533-position model. The record is from RNAcentral.